This 294-nucleotide long non-coding RNA is filed under the name Nicotiana benthamiana. RNAcentral describes it as "long non-coding RNA (NBEN_LNC001798)". Lineage: Eukaryota; Viridiplantae; Streptophyta; Magnoliopsida; Solanales; Solanaceae. The record is from RNAcentral.
GAAUAUCGAACAUUGACUGCAAAAAUGAAACACAUAAAAUAUUACCAGAAAAAUUAGGGCAGCAAAAUGAUUUUCCUAGAUAUUACCAAAGAAAGAAAAAAGGAGAAAAUGGAGAAAGAAAAAGGAGCAGCGAAAGAUAAAAUUAACCGAGAAAGAAAAAGCCCCCGAAAUAAUACCAGAGAAAGAAAAAAGGAGCAACGAAACUAUUUUCUAAAUAGCCAAGAAAGAGAAUAUCGAUAGCAAACAUGGAACAAAGAAAAUCUCAUAGUUGCAAACAGAAAAUCAAAACCUAAC